CAUAAGGUGCCGUAGAUCUGUCACGAGACAACGGGAUGCGUGAGAUAUCGAUCAGCUUUAGUUCCAGAGCGGAUUUAACACCAUUGCUCUUAGGACCUGCAUUCGCCUAUAAACAUUUCCCGUACUUGCCAGAUGGGUAUUUCCAAUAACACGGUGGUAUUGAAGUUUGACGUCGAAAGCCGUCAGCUAGAGGAAGUCUCUGAGGAAACAAAGGUGGAGGUGAGGUAGCAGGGUGCCGUCUCUCUGUGGACCUUGGUAAGACACACUAUGAAAUGGCAGAGCAUAUCGGCUACAACUCUAUCCUGGAGCUCAUCCUCUCCUCCUCGCGACAGGGUGCAAUAUGUCGUUUGGAGAUAAAUGGUGGCCCACCUGUUCCUCAGUGCAACAAUAAAAAGGUGUGUCCAAAAUGACGAGCUGCACUAAUGGCCAGCUGGUGUCUGUAGGUCACUUUGGGCGGACCAGCUCGGCUCCAGCUCCAACGCCAGAGGAGCUGGACAGCCAACCCCAAGGUGAGGUUGUGUGGGACAGCCCACCCUGGAUUCAUUAAGGCUGGAUGAAGACAGCCAGCAAAGACAGUGACCCUGGUGGUCAGUCUGGGAUCUAACCUGACUGGGAACCAGCUUAACGUAGUGAUCUUGUGACUCAGGAUCUGAACUCAGAGAACCAUUCUAUUUAUGUUCAAGAUGAAUAUAUUACAUUAUAUUAUUAAUGGGAAAGAGUGACUUAAUGGUCUAAUAUAUAGGAUGUAGUUUGAAUAAUAAAACAAAAUGA
Molecule: long non-coding RNA, 771 nt
Organism: Oncorhynchus kisutch (coho salmon)
Lineage: Eukaryota; Metazoa; Chordata; Actinopteri; Salmoniformes; Salmonidae
Exons: 4
Source: RefSeq, a predicted model, not a curated record